Molecule: long non-coding RNA, 2799 nt
Organism: Musca domestica (house fly)
Lineage: Eukaryota; Metazoa; Arthropoda; Insecta; Diptera; Muscidae
Exons: 2
Source: RefSeq, a predicted model, not a curated record
UGAAGAAAUGGUUGUCCGCAAAUAUUCAAUUAUUUUCCGUAAUUAUUCAAAUUAUUCAUUAUUAUUCCGUAGAAUUUUUUUUAAUUAGAUGCAACACUUUUCUUUUACCUACUCAUUGCACCCUGGGUGAUAGCAAUCGAAAAAGUAUUUACUUUCAAUAUGAGAUGAAUUAUCACAAAAUUUAUAUUAUUUUUUCAUCGGCAAUUGUUUUGUGAUUACGCAGGUAAAAUAUAUGGGGACAUGUGAUUCAUAUUCGCUCUACCCCAGGUAGUUCAUGUCAAUACUAAUUUUUUCAGAGAAAUAAUAUAUUCCAGAAGUCUCUUUGGAAACGUGAAGAUUCUUCUUGCACAAAUUCAGAAUCCUAUUAUUAUACAAAGUCUAGAAAUUGCACGACAUAAAAAAAUUUUAAGUGUGUGAGGUACAAUAUUUCUUUAAUAUUGUGUUGAUAACGAUUUUUUCCGGAGAAUACAAAACAAUUUAAAUUUUCACUGAGAUGGUACACACAAUAAACUCAUAAAAAAAGUACGACAUACCUGAGAUGCUAAUAAUGUCCUCCAAAUUACUGUAGACAUCAACGUCAAGUUAUGUGGUUCAGCCUGUAUAAUUUCAGCCUCCUUUCACUAGUGUCGAAGAAUAUUGGUUAAAUUCACUUUAUUUAUACACAAAAUUUCACGAAUUUGUCUGUUUAUAAAGUACCAAGCAUGGCCUGAAAAAAUAAUAAUAUAAUUAAUAUUGAAAUAUAAGUGAAUAAAGGGUAAGAGCUAUUAUCAGUUUAAGGAACGUAAUAUACCUGCGCGUGCAUGUGGCUGAACAAAAGCAGAGCGAAACGAUCUGCUUGUCGAUCGAUGUAAACGGAAUGGCAACAGCGGCAGCGCUGCCAUCCACGCCAUGCAGCAAGUUAACACCAUACCGACUCUUCAUACACGUUUUCUUUUUGUUCUGUUUGCUUUUCAAUGUCAUUUAAAUGACGCCUCAAUGAAAUGUGUUCUCAUGUGUGUGUGCAAACCGCCACCAUAAAACCGCAUUCCGCUGAACUACCGUUGGUUUGGUUUUUGCGAUGAACGAACACAAACACACACACACACAUGCAAAAAAACCAUGUAUUCGCCAAGCAUUCAUUGACAAAUUCAAGCGAGAGUACCUAAAAAAAUAGGAAAACAUGAAAUUAACUAUGAGCCUACAAUCAAAUAAGAAUGCUUACCUUCAGGAAAAUGCGGUACAAUGUCCGAGGGCGAAGGAUCGACAGAUUUUUUUUUUUUUUUUGCAGAAAUGGGAUUUCUGAAUACUUGGAUAUGUGUCUUGCUAUCACACUGAAAUCACUAUCACUUUAGGUAAUUCUAACGAACGAAACGAUGGCGAAACCAAACGCACAUCACCGUUUCUUUUGCAGAUGCCUAGAAACGGUGAAGUUUUGUUGCGUGGUGGGCACUAUUUAAUUUUUAAUUGAUGUUUUUUUUAGCUAACAUCCGCGACGUGCAAACCGCAGCAACCCGUGUUUAAAAAAUGAAGCGGAAAUGUUCUGUCCCAAUGGUAAUUAGAAUUGCCACCACUGCCAGUGUUGUAUUUGGAUCGAUUAUUUGGUAGAUAAAUUAAUCGAAAAUACCACCUGCGAUAUUGUAAGGGCUCGUUAGGUCGGUAUCAUAAAGAAGGUAAAUGUCAGGAAAAAUUAAGGAAAAGCCGAAAAGCGGAAAAAUGCCGCGUCAUUCCCGUAGGUAUAAAAGGGGGAAAAAGGAAAACGCGCCCUUAUUAUUCAAGUGGUGCGACAGUAAAAUAGUGGUCAUAAAAGUAAAAAAAAAUUAAAACCUGCCAAAUUUCAAAAUAAAAAUUACUUUUUUUAAGGCAAUAAAAGCCUCGAUAUUUAUUUUAUUAUUUAUGGUGAAGGCGUUAGUAAUUGAUUUGUUUCGCCAAAAUAAUUUAAAUUUCUCGAGGGUAUCAACUGGCCUCCUCGGCGAACAAAAGCGGAGAGGUCAGCCCAUCUUUGACGGCCACAGCAACCACCACAACGCAAAAUUGAGGCCCCAGCAACCGCCUCCAUAACACCAAUUCCCUUGAUCCAUGAUAUCCGGGUUCUGCUUUAUCCUGGUGGACGAGGUCGCGGAAGAGUGAUCCUGGAAAAGAACAAAGCAGGUUGUACUAAAGAAUGCAAAAAGCCAGGUAACAAAGUUAUUUAUUAAACUUACCGCUUGUUUGAUACAACCACUGGCAUAAAAUAAAAACCAGAACCAGGAGGGAGACCCUGCAACAGAAAAAAGGAGAAAUUCCAUUACAUAAAAUUUUAAGAAAAAGCAAAAGGCAGAAAAAUUCAUAUAAAUUAAGAGAAAGAACUAAUAUAAUAUUCAAAUUUUUAAUUAAGAUAAUAUAUUUAGGUUAAGUUGUGUUGUCUAAGUUUAUUAUUUGUGUUUUUUUUUGUGUCCAGCAUAAAUGUUCUUGUUUUUGUGAGGGACAUUAACUAUUCUAAAUUUUAUAAGUAAAUUGGAGUGUAGGGUUACCCCAAAUUACUUUGAGUGUUAUAAUCAAGAUUUUUUUUGAGGUUCCGUUGAAUAUUGUGGACCAGUUUGCGGGUCCCUCACCACCUAAGAGAGCUCGUUUAGGCAGGUACUAAUUGCAUAACUUAGAAAGUCCAAAAUUUGGUGACAUUUAGUUGACUGAAGUAAUGAAGGGUGGUCUGAUAUAUAUGAACUCCUCAAACAAUGACUAAGAGAUCCUGAUAGUUAAUGUUUCAAAUUUCAGCUUGUUUGUUCUAUUUUAAGGAAAUCUUAUAUAUUAAUAAAUUGUUCGUAAUAUGAUUGUUUGUGUAAU